AAGAUCGGAGCGCCCGCCCUAACCCGUAGAUCCGAACUUGUGUCCGCGCGAUGCAAAGCACAAGUUCCCCUCUGCGGGUCUGGGCUGGUCGCUUGCCAUUC
This 101-nucleotide microRNA precursor is filed under the name Ixodes scapularis (black-legged tick). Its description in RNAcentral is "microRNA isc-mir-100 precursor". Its record names the gene isc-mir-100. The stretch from base 14 to 88 matches the Rfam family "mir-10 microRNA precursor family". From Rfam's summary of the family: In this case the mature sequence comes from the 5' arm of the precursor. The extents of the hairpin precursors are not generally known and are estimated based on hairpin prediction. Lineage: Eukaryota; Metazoa; Arthropoda; Arachnida; Ixodida; Ixodidae. The record is from miRBase by way of RNAcentral.